GGGGGUGUAGCUCAUUUGGCAGAGCGCGUCAUUAGCAUUUUGACGAGGUACUGGGUUCAAUUCCCAGCUCCUCCA
This 75-nucleotide transfer RNA is filed under the name Cryptococcus deneoformans B-3501A. RNAcentral's name for it is "tRNA-Ala". It matches the Rfam family "tRNA". Rfam says of the family: Transfer RNA (tRNA) molecules are approximately 80 nucleotides in length. Their secondary structure includes four short double-helical elements and three loops (D, anti-codon, and T loops). Further hydrogen bonds mediate the characteristic L-shaped molecular structure. tRNAs have two regions of fundamental functional importance: the anti-codon, which is responsible for specific mRNA codon recognition, and the 3' end, to which the tRNAs corresponding amino acid is attached (by aminoacyl-tRNA synthetases). tRNAs cope with the degeneracy of the genetic code in two manners: having more than one tRNA (with a specific anti-codon) for a particular amino acid; and 'wobble' base-pairing, i.e. permitting non-standard base-pairing at the 3rd anti-codon position. Lineage: Eukaryota; Fungi; Basidiomycota; Tremellomycetes; Tremellales; Cryptococcaceae. The record is from RNAcentral.